GACGAACGCUGGCGGCGUGCUUAACACAUGCAAGUCGAGCGGUAAGGCCCUUUCGGGGUACGACGAGCGGCGAACGGGUAGGAGUAACACGUGGGUGGACCUCGCCCUUACGCUCUGGGAGUAAAGCCUCGGGAAACGUAGGGUCGUAACAACCGGAUAUGACUCCAUGACGCAUGUUGUGGGGUGGGAAAGCCUUGUGCGGCUAGGGA
This 209-nucleotide ribosomal RNA is filed under the name uncultured bacterium. RNAcentral describes it as "partial 16S ribosomal RNA". It matches the Rfam family "Bacterial small subunit ribosomal RNA", at positions 28 to 225 of the family's 1533-position model. The record is from RNAcentral.